UGUUGCACUGUUUUUUUUUUUUUUUUUUAGAGAGGUCUUGAAAACAUUGAUCUCUUGUGAUUAUGAAUUUCCACAAGACAACCAUGGAUUAUCAUAAACAGGACCAUAAGUAAGUGCACAUGGCCUUUUGUGAAAGAAGAGAUAAUUGUGAGAUGCUGUGAGAUUUCAUUGUCACUGUGUUUUAAAAACCUGUAUAUCUCGAUCAUUUCUUCGCUAGUUAUAGGAUGCUAUUAAGCCUAUAUAUGUGUUGUACCAUUAGAAUAAGCAACUAUAUUAAUUCUACAUUUUUUCAGUAAAAAAACAUGAAAAACUGUGUAUAUAGAUGCAAAUAUAGGCAUGUAGAGGCUAGCUGUUAAAGCCUGAAAUUUAGUAGCUAGUACAUUCAUACUACUUUUGUUAUUAAUGUACGAGAGAAUGGUAGUGUAUGUGACUGACUGACAAGUCAUUCUAUUUAUGUUUACACUACAGAAUAUGGCAGGUUUGGGUAAUUAUGGUAUCACAUCAGACAACACUCUUUUAAGAAGUACUAGAGUAUAUAUUUUCAUGGCAAGGUCAGCAAUUUGCAUUUAGAGAGCUUUUAAGUUAGGUGCUACUGAGGUUUUCCUUUUAACUUCUGGGGUGCUGCUGGACACUGCAGGUGCUUUACAACCCGCUUUCACCCUUCUAUGAAGCUACCAGGCAUUGCAGGGCAUGGUGACAGUCCACUGGCCCCUGAAGAAUCAUUCACAGAACAAAGCAGAUGCAAUGGGGGAAGCACUAAAGGAGCUUGUGCAAUGCCUACUUGAAAAUUUCCUUUCAGAUUCAGGGUGUGUUAUUUCCUGUCUAUUUCAACGUCUAGCCAAGACUGGGUCCUGGAUGAAACUGGUUGGCUAAUAUACAAUCCAGAAAAGGCAGAAAGGCAGACACUGUACCAGAACAAGCAAACUAAAAGGAGGUGAAACACAUGUAACUACCUUAUCAGCUGAAGAUUGGUUUCAGCAGCCUAAAAGCUUUUAGGGAAUCCUCUCUUUCUAUCAAAGAGAAGAAAAAAAUUAAAAAAAAAAAAAAAAUAAAAAAAAAUUACAAGUGGCUUUCA
RNAcentral lists this long non-coding RNA (1075 nucleotides) under Anas platyrhynchos platyrhynchos (common mallard). Its description in RNAcentral is "lncRNA (ENSAPLG00000018330.1)". Lineage: Eukaryota; Metazoa; Chordata; Aves; Anseriformes; Anatidae. The record is from RNAcentral.